RNAcentral lists this ribosomal RNA (468 nucleotides) under uncultured bacterium. RNAcentral's name for it is "partial 16S ribosomal RNA". It matches the Rfam family "Bacterial small subunit ribosomal RNA", at positions 28 to 507 of the family's 1533-position model. The record is from RNAcentral.
GACGAACGCUGGCGGCGUGCUUAACACAUGCAAGUCGAACGGAAAGGCCCUGCUUUUGUGGGGUGCUCGAGUGGCGAACGGGUGAGUAACACGUGAGUAACCUGCCCUUGACUUUAGGAUAACUUCAGGAAACUGGGGCUAAUACCGGAUAGGAGCUCCUGCUGCAUGGUGGGGGUUGGAAAGUUUCGGCGGUUGGUGAUGGACUCGCGGCUUAUCAGCUUGUUGGUGGGGUAGUGGGUGACCAAGGCUUGGAAGGGUAGCCGGCCUGAGCGGGUGACCGGCCACAUUGGGACUGAGAUACGGCCCAGCCUACUACGGGACGCAGCAGUGGGGAAGAGUGCACAAUGGGCGGAAGCCUGAUGCAGCAACGCCGCGUGGGGGAUGACGGCCUUCGGGUUGUAAAGCGCUUUCGCCUGUGACGAAGCGUGAGUGACGGUAAUGGGUAAAGAAGCACCGGCUAACUACGUG